AGUGGCGAACGGGUGAGUAAAGUAUCGGAACGUGCCCAGUCGUGGGGGAUAACGUAGCGAAAGUUACGCUAAUACCGCAUACGAUCUAUGGAUGAAAGCGGGGGAUCGCAAGACCUCGCGCGAUUGGAGCGGCCGAUAUCAGAUUAGGUAGUUGGUGGGGUAAAGGCUCACCAAGCCGACGAUCUGUAGCUGGUCUGAGAGGACGACCAGCCACACUGGGACUGAGACACGGCCCACACUCCUACGGGAGGCAGCAGUGGGGAAUUUUGGACAAUGGGCGCAAGCCUGAUCCAGCCAUGCCGCGUGCAGGAUGAAGGCCUUCGGGUUGUAAACUGCUUUUGUACGGAACGAAAAGGUUUGGCCUAAUAAGCUGAGCUCAUGACGGUACCGUAAGAAUAAGCACCGGCUAACUACGUGCCAGCAGCCGCGGUAAUACGUAGGGUGCGAGCGUUAAUCGGAAUUACUGGGCGUAAAGCGUGCGCAGGCGGUUAUGUAAGACAGAUGUGAAAUCUCCGGGCUCAACCUGGGAACUGCAUUAGUGACUGCAUAGCUGGAGUACGGCAGAGGGGGAUGGAAUUCCGCGUGUAGCAGUGAAAUGCGUAGAUAUGCGGAGGAACACCGAUGGCGAAGGCAAUCCCCUGGGCCUGUACUGACGCUCAUGCACGAAAGCGUGGG
Molecule: ribosomal RNA, 675 nt
Filed under: uncultured Curvibacter sp.
Lineage: Bacteria; Pseudomonadati; Pseudomonadota; Betaproteobacteria; Burkholderiales; Comamonadaceae
Description: bacterial SSU rRNA
Rfam family: Bacterial small subunit ribosomal RNA
Source: RNAcentral